Trichophaea hybrida is the source of this 72-nucleotide non-coding RNA. The record is from the annotation of a GenBank genome assembly. NCBI's taxonomy places the organism in Eukaryota, Fungi, Ascomycota, Pezizomycetes, Pezizales, Pyronemataceae.
GGGCCGGUGGCGCAAUGGUAGGGCAUCCUUCAAGUAGAAAAAAGGUUCUAGGUUCGAUUCUUAGCCAGUCCA